RNAcentral lists this transfer RNA (76 nucleotides) under Chloroflexota bacterium. RNAcentral's name for it is "Chloroflexi bacterium (groundwater metagenome) tRNA-Thr". It matches the Rfam family "tRNA". Rfam says of the family: Transfer RNA (tRNA) molecules are approximately 80 nucleotides in length. Their secondary structure includes four short double-helical elements and three loops (D, anti-codon, and T loops). Further hydrogen bonds mediate the characteristic L-shaped molecular structure. tRNAs have two regions of fundamental functional importance: the anti-codon, which is responsible for specific mRNA codon recognition, and the 3' end, to which the tRNAs corresponding amino acid is attached (by aminoacyl-tRNA synthetases). tRNAs cope with the degeneracy of the genetic code in two manners: having more than one tRNA (with a specific anti-codon) for a particular amino acid; and 'wobble' base-pairing, i.e. permitting non-standard base-pairing at the 3rd anti-codon position. The record is from RNAcentral. Lineage: Bacteria; Bacillati; Chloroflexota.
GCCCACAUAGCUCAGCCGGUAGAGCACGUUCUUGGUAAGAACGGGGUCGCCGGUUCGAAUCCGGCUGUGGGCUCCA